RNAcentral lists this ribosomal RNA (565 nucleotides) under Bos taurus (domestic cattle). RNAcentral describes it as "partial 12S ribosomal RNA". It matches the Rfam family "Bacterial small subunit ribosomal RNA", at positions 9 to 951 of the family's 1533-position model. Lineage: Eukaryota; Metazoa; Chordata; Mammalia; Artiodactyla; Bovidae. The record is from RNAcentral.
CAUAGGUUUGGUCCCAGCCUUCCUGUUAACUCUUAAUAAACUUACACAUGCAAGCAUCUACACCCCAGUGAGAAUGCCCUCUAGGUUAUUAAAACUAAGAGGAGCUGGCAUCAAGCACACACCCUGUAGCUCACGACGCCUUGCUUAACCACACCCCCACGGGAACCAGCAGUGACAAAAAUUAAGCCAUAAACGAAAGUUUGACUAAGUUAUAUUAAUUAGGGUUGGUAAAUCUCGUGCCAGCCACCGCGGUCAUACGAUUAACCCAAGCUAACAGGAGUACGGCGUAAAACGUGUUAAAGCACCAUACCAAAUAGGGUUAAAUUCUAACUAAGCUGUAAAAAGCCAUGAUUAAAAUAAAAAUAAAUGACGAAAGUGACCCUACAAUAGCCGACGCACUAUAGCUAAGACCCAAACUGGGAUUAGAUACCCCACUAUGCUUAGCCCUAAACACAGAUAAUUACAUAAACAAAAUUAUUCGCCAGAGUACUACUAGCAACAGCUUAAAACUCAAAGGACUUGGCGGUGCUUUAUAUCCUUCUAGAGGAGCCUGUUCUAUAUAAUC